This 775-nucleotide ribosomal RNA is filed under the name uncultured Arthrobacter sp. RNAcentral's name for it is "bacterial SSU rRNA". It matches the Rfam family "Bacterial small subunit ribosomal RNA", at positions 8 to 796 of the family's 1533-position model. The record is from RNAcentral. Lineage: Bacteria; Bacillati; Actinomycetota; Actinomycetes; Micrococcales; Micrococcaceae.
AGAGUUUGAUCCUGGCUCAGGAUGAACGCUGGCGGCGUGCUUAACACAUGCAAGUCGAACGAUGAUCCCAGCUUGCUGGGGGAUUAGUGGCGAACGGGUGAGUAACACGUGAGUAACCUGCCCUUAACUCUGGGAUAAGCCUGGGAAACUGGGUCUAAUACCGGAUAUGACUCCUCAUCGCAUGGUGGGGGGUGGAAAGCUUUAUUGUGGUUUUGGAUGGACUCGCGGCCUAUCAGCUUGUUGGUGAGGUAAUGGCUCACCAAGGCGACGACGGGUAGCCGGCCUGAGAGGGUGACCGGCCACACUGGGACUGAGACACGGCCCAGACUCCUACGGGAGGCAGCAGUGGGGAAUAUUGCACAAUGGGCGAAAGCCUGAUGCAGCGACGCCGCGUGAGGGAUGACGGCCUUCGGGUUGUAAACCUCUUUCAGUAGGGAAGAAGCGAAAGUGACGGUACCUGCAGAAGAAGCGCCGGCUAACUACGUGCCAGCAGCCGCGGUAAUACGUAGGGCGCAAGCGUUAUCCGGAAUUAUUGGGCGUAAAGAGCUCGUAGGCGGUUUGUCGCGUCUGCCGUGAAAGUCCGGGGCUCAACUCCGGAUCUGCGGUGGGUACGGGCAGACUAGAGUGAUGUAGGGGAGACUGGAAUUCCUGGUGUAGCGGUGAAAUGCGCAGAUAUCAGGAGGAACACCGAUGGCGAGGGCAGGUCUCUGGGCAUUAACUGACGCUGAGGAGCGAAAGCAUGGGGAGCGAACAGGAUUAGAUACCCCAGUAGUCC